This 380-nucleotide ribosomal RNA is filed under the name Amphora coffeiformis. RNAcentral describes it as "partial Bacterial large subunit ribosomal RNA". It matches the Rfam family "Bacterial large subunit ribosomal RNA", at positions 2159 to 2538 of the family's 2925-position model. Lineage: Eukaryota; Bacillariophyta; Bacillariophyceae; Surirellales; Surirellaceae. The record is from RNAcentral.
GAAGCCAGGACGCUUGUUCUGGUGGAGCCGACGUUGAAAUACCACCCUGGUGUGUUUGAGGUUCUAACCUUGGCCCGUGAUCCGGGUUGGGGACAGUGUAUGGUGGGCAGUUUGACUGGGGCGGUCUCCUCCCAAAGCGUAACGGAGGAGUUCGAAGGUACGCUAGUUACGGUCGGAAAUCGUGACGAUAGUGCAUUGGCAUAAGCGUGCUUGACUGCGAGACUGACAAGUCGAGCAGGUACGAAAGUAGGACAAAGUGAUCCGGUGGUUCUGUAUGGAAGGGCCAUCGCUCAACGGAUAAAAGGUACUCUGGGGAUAACAGGCUGAUACCGCCCAAGAGUUCAUAUCGACGGCGGUGUUUGGCACCUCGAUGUCGGCUC